GGCUCAGGAUGAACGCUGGCGGCAUGCCUAAGACAUGACAAGUCGAACGAAGUGGCCAUUGAAGAUGGAGUGCUUGCACAAAGUCAGUAUUUGGUUACCACUUAGUGGCAGACGGGUGAGUAACACGUGGGGUAACCUACCUCAAAGACUGGGACAACAGUUGGAAACGACUGCUAAUACCGGAUAAUCCAUAUUUAGAUAACUAGAUAUGUUAAAAGAAGCGUUUGCUUCACUUUGAGAUGGGCUCGCGUCCGAUUAGGCAGUUGGUGGGGUAACGGCCCACCAAACCGACGAUCGGUAGCCGAACUGAGAGGUUGAACGGCCACAUUGGAACUGAGAUACGGUCCAGACUCCUACGGGAGGCAGCAGUGGGGAAUAUUGCACAAUGGGGGAAACCCUGAUGCAGCGACGCCGCGUGGAGGAAGAAGGUCUUCGGAUUGUAAACUCCUGUUGUCAAGGACGAUAAUGACGGUACUUGACAAGAAAGCCACGGCUAACUACGUG
RNAcentral lists this ribosomal RNA (504 nucleotides) under uncultured bacterium. RNAcentral describes it as "bacterial SSU rRNA". It matches the Rfam family "Bacterial small subunit ribosomal RNA", at positions 21 to 507 of the family's 1533-position model. The record is from RNAcentral.